Molecule: ribosomal RNA, 449 nt
Filed under: uncultured bacterium
Lineage: Bacteria
Description: bacterial SSU rRNA
Rfam family: Bacterial small subunit ribosomal RNA
Source: RNAcentral
UUCCAGACUCCUACGGGAGGCAGCAGUGGGGAAUAUUGCACAAUGGGGGAAACCCUGAUGCAGCGACGCCGCGUGAGUGAAGAAGUCUUUCGGUAUGUAAAGCUCUCUCAGCAGGGAAGAAAAUGACGGUACCUGACUAAGAAGCCCCGGCUAACUACGUGCCAGCAGCCGCGGUAAUACGUAGGGGGCAAGCGUUAUCCGGAUUUACUGGGUGUAAAGGGAGCGUAGACGGUAGAGCAAGUCUGAAGUGAAAGCCCGCGGCUCAACUGCGGGACUGCUUUGGAAACUGUUCAACUGGAGUGCUGGAGAGGUAAGCGGAAUUCCUAGUGUAGCGGUGAAAUGCGUAGAUAUUAGGAGGAACACCAGUGGCGAAGGCGGCUUACUGGACAGUAACUGACGCUGAGGUUCGAAAGCGUGGGGAGCAAACAGGAUUAGAUACCCCAGUAAAC